AGUGAACGCUGGCGGUAGGCCUAACACAUGCAAGUCGAACGGCAGCACAGUAAGAGCUUGCUCUUACGGGUGGCGAGUGGCGGACGGGUGAGGAAUACAUCGGAAUCUACUUUUUCGUGGGGGAUAACGCAGGGAAACUUACGCUAAUACCGCAUACGACCUACGGGUGAAAGCAGGGGAUCUUCGGACCUUGCGCGAUUGAAUGAGCCGAUGUCGGAUUAGCUAGUUGGCGGGGUAAAGGCCCACCAAGGCGACGAUCCGUAGCUGGUCUGAGAGGAUGAUCGGCCACACUGGAACUGAGACACGGUCCAGACUCCUACGGGAGGCAGCAGUGGGGAAUAUUGGACAAUGGGCGCAAGCCUGAUCCAGCCAGACCGCGUGGGUGAAGAAGGCCUUCGGGUUGUAAAGCCCUGUUGUUGGGAAAGAAAAGCAGCAGGUUAAUACCCCGCUGUUCUGACGGUACCCAAAGAAUAAGCACCGGCUAACUUCGUG
This 492-nucleotide ribosomal RNA is filed under the name uncultured bacterium. RNAcentral's name for it is "partial 16S ribosomal RNA". It matches the Rfam family "Bacterial small subunit ribosomal RNA", at positions 29 to 507 of the family's 1533-position model. The record is from RNAcentral.